Non-coding RNA from Microcebus murinus (gray mouse lemur), 290 nucleotides. Lineage: Eukaryota; Metazoa; Chordata; Mammalia; Primates; Cheirogaleidae. The record is from RefSeq and is a predicted model, not a curated record.
GACUUCCUUGUGGGCCACCACCUUCAAUUGAUCAUGGGGUUAGAUCCCCUAUGUUGUCCAGUUACCAGUAUGGAGAAGAAUUUACAUACCAAUGUUCUGAAGGUUUUGGAAUUGACGGACCUGCAUUUACAAAAUGCUUAGGAGGAAAGUGGUCUCAUCAACCAACAUGCAUAAGAACAGAUUGUCAUAAUGUCCCCAUAAUUGAUAAUGCCAUACUCACAGGAGAGAAGAAGACUUCAUAUAGGUCAGGAGAACAAUUGAGUUAUGAAUGUCAACCAAAUUACCAAUUG